AUGAACGCUGGCGGCGUGCCUAAUCCAUGCAAGUCGAGCGAACGGACGAGAAGCUUGCUUUUCUGAUGUUAGCGGCGGACGGGUGAGUAACACGUGGAUAACCUACCUAUAAGACUGGGAUAACUUCGGGAAACCGGAGCUAAUACCGGAUAAUAUUUUGAACCGCAUGGUUCAAAAGUGAAAGACGGUCUUGCUGUCACUUAUAGAUGGAUCCGCGCUGCAUUAGCUAGUUGGUAAGGUAACGGCUUACCAAGGCAACGAUGCAUAGCCGACCUGAGAGGGUGAUCGGCCACACUGGAACUGAGACACGGUCCAGACUCCUACGGGAGGCAGCAGUAGGGAAUCUUCCGCAAUGGGCGAAAGCCUGACGGAGCAACGCCGCGUGAGUGAUGAAGGUCUUCGGAUCGGAAAACUCUGUUAUUAGGGAAGAACAUAUGUGUAAGUAACUGUGCACAUCUUGACGGUACCUAAUCAGAAAGCCACGGCUAACUACG
This 494-nucleotide ribosomal RNA is filed under the name uncultured bacterium. RNAcentral's name for it is "partial 16S ribosomal RNA". It matches the Rfam family "Bacterial small subunit ribosomal RNA", at positions 29 to 505 of the family's 1533-position model. The record is from RNAcentral.